AGUGAACGCUGGCGGUAGGCCUAACACAUGCAAGUCGAACGGCAGCACAGGAGAGCUUGCUCUCUGGGUGGCGAGUGGCGGACGGGUGAGGAAUACAUCGGAAUCUACUCUGUCGUGGGGGAUAACGUAGGGAAACUUACGCUAAUACCGCAUACGACCUACGGGUGAAAGCAGGGGACCUUCGGGCCUUGCGCGAUUGAAUGAGGCGAUGUCGGAUUAGCUAGUUGGCGGGGUAAAGGCCCACCACGGCGACGAUCCGUAGCGGGUCUGAGAGGAUGAUCAGCCACACUGGAACUGAGACACAGUCCAGACUCCUACGGGAGGCAGCAGUGGGGAAUAUUGGACAAUGGGCGCAAGCCUGAUCCAGCCAUACCGCGUGGGUGAAGAAGGCCUUCGGGUUGUAAAGCCCUUUUGUUGGGAAAGAAAUCCAGCUGGCUAAUACCCGGUUGGGAUGACGGUACCCAAAGAAUAAGCACCGGCUAACUUCGUGCCAGCCGCCGCAGUAA
RNAcentral lists this ribosomal RNA (506 nucleotides) under uncultured bacterium. RNAcentral's name for it is "partial 16S ribosomal RNA". It matches the Rfam family "Bacterial small subunit ribosomal RNA", at positions 29 to 523 of the family's 1533-position model. The record is from RNAcentral.